RNAcentral lists this long non-coding RNA (231 nucleotides) under Pelobates cultripes (western spadefoot toad). The record is from RNAcentral. Lineage: Eukaryota; Metazoa; Chordata; Amphibia; Anura; Pelobatidae.
GCAAUCCCCAGUGUGAUUAUAACAGCUCCCUCCAAUAACGAGACGAGGCUACGUUUAGAGGGAUCAAGAAGAACUGUCUAAACCUUUAUUUCCCUUGGGACCAGCCCAUAGGGUCAGAACAUUAACAUUGAUGUGAAAACUCAAUAAAAUCACAAACAGUCAAACCAUAGCAGGCAACACACAGUGACUUAUCACAACACAAUGGCACAUUUUUAAAGGGGUGGGGGAGAC